CCAUAUUUUGCAGAGUAGGCUCUGAACGAUCCUGAAUUUGGUCGGGACGGCUGAAAUCCACCCCAACAGCAUGAGAUGGCUAAGAGUGCCAAAGCACCUAACCAUAAAAAAAAAAAAAAAAUUGUAUCUUAAUGAUAAAAAGAGGGUAAAAAAUCCAAUACAUGUGAAAAAAAAUACCAAACAUUAACCCCUUCCCAACCC
Molecule: non-coding RNA, 201 nt
Organism: Pelobates cultripes (western spadefoot toad)
Lineage: Eukaryota; Metazoa; Chordata; Amphibia; Anura; Pelobatidae
Source: the annotation of a GenBank genome assembly